RNAcentral lists this ribosomal RNA (440 nucleotides) under uncultured bacterium. RNAcentral describes it as "partial 16S ribosomal RNA". It matches the Rfam family "Bacterial small subunit ribosomal RNA", at positions 338 to 795 of the family's 1533-position model. The record is from RNAcentral.
CCUACGGUAGACAGCAGUGGGGAAUAUUGCACAAUGGGGGAAACCCUGAUGCAGCGACGCCGCGUGAGUGAAGAAGUAUUUCGGUAUGUAAAGCUCUAUCAGCAGGGAAGAAAAUGACGGUACCUGAUUAAGAAGCCCCGGCUAACUACUUGCCAGCAGCCGCGGUAAUACGUAGGGGGCAAGCGUUAACCGGAUUUACUGGGUGUAAAGGGCACGUAGACGGCAGCACAAGUCUGGAGUGAAAUGCCUGGGCUUAACCCCGGAACUGCUUUGGAAACUGUGCAGCUAGAGUGCAGGAGAGGUAAGUGGAAUUCCUCGUGUAGCGGUGAAAUGCGUAGAUAUUAGGAGGAACACCAGUGGCGAAGGCGGCUGACUGGAAUGUAACUGACGUUGAGGCUCGAAAGCGUGGGGAGCAAACAGGAUUAGAUACCCUUGUAGUC